CUACGGGAGGCAGCAGUGAGGAAUCUUGCGCAAUGGACGAAAGUCUGACGCAGCGACGCCGCGUGAGUGAUGAAGGCCUUCGGGUUGUAAAGCUCUGUGGGGAGAGAAGAAUUAGUGCGGGCUAAUCACCGCAUGAUGACGGUAUCUCCUUAGCAAGCACCGGCUAACUCUGUGCCAGCAGCCGCGGUAAGACAGAGGGUGCAAACGUUGUUCGGAAUACUGGGCGUAAAGCGUGUGUAGGCGGCCGCGACAGUCGGAUGUGAAAGCCCUGGGCUCAACUCAGGAAGUGCACCCGAUACUACGCGGCUAGAGUACCGGAGAGGUUGGUAGAAUUCUCGCUGUAGAGGUGAAAUUCGUAGAUAUCGAGAGGAAUACCUGUGGCGAAGGCGGCCAACUGGACGAGUACUGACGCUGAGACACGAAAGCGUGGGGAGCGAACAGGAUUAGAUACCCCGGUAGUCCC
Molecule: ribosomal RNA, 463 nt
Filed under: uncultured bacterium
Lineage: Bacteria
Description: bacterial SSU rRNA
Rfam family: Bacterial small subunit ribosomal RNA
Source: RNAcentral